AAAGGAUAGUAAUUUUUCUCUUUUAAUGCCCUUCUCCCUCCUUCUUCCUUCUUCCUACGGCACAUUGCAGUAAAUUAAUGUCAUGGUGGUUAUUACAGUAGCGCUGCUAUGGCAAGUAUUCAAGCAACGAUCCUCGAAUAUUUUACCUCAGCAUUUAUUUGUCCAUAAAAUAAAAUAGGAUUUAUUGCAGUACUCUCUGGUUUGAGGACUGCAUGGACAGCAGCUGUGACAACUCCUUAUCUCCACUGCAGGUAAAGAUAUAGGGGAUGAUUCCCUGAAGCUAAAGAGAAACAAGGAACGUGGAAGUCAGUCAGCUACACAACCACAGUGUCACACAAAUUGGGCUAUCAGCUCCUCUCUGCUGGAGAUGGCGAAGGAGAAUGGGAGCUGUGGGAACAGAUCCAGGGGACAGAAGCCCACAGAGAUCUUCCCCAGAAGAUGAGUGGAGCAGAUCAGAGAUGGGAAUAAAGGAGCUGUCACCAACCACAGCCUUCUCCCUGCUCUGCACAGUGAAUGCACAGGACACAGAUCAGAAGGUGUUCCCCCCUGUGUCAGGAUCCUGCCUACCAAGAAAACCCACUGCUGGCCAUGCCCUGCCCACAGGGAGGGGAAAAGGAGGCUCCACACUGCCAGGCUAUGAUGCAGAAAUGUGAGAAGGAAAGCCAAACCUGUGUGAGGCAAAUAUAGUCUGUGGGAGUAACUCUGUAGGCCACUAAAUUUCAAAAAUGCCAUUCAAUAAAAUUUGUGAAGUAACAAAGCCUAAACUAAUA
RNAcentral lists this long non-coding RNA (770 nucleotides) under Cyanistes caeruleus (blue tit). RNAcentral's name for it is "lncRNA (ENSCCEG00000019511.1)". Lineage: Eukaryota; Metazoa; Chordata; Aves; Passeriformes; Paridae. The record is from RNAcentral.